Ictalurus punctatus (channel catfish) is the source of this 8666-nucleotide long non-coding RNA. NCBI's taxonomy places the organism in Eukaryota, Metazoa, Chordata, Actinopteri, Siluriformes, Ictaluridae. The record is from Ensembl.
UGGUGAUAGCAGUGUGUCAUGCAGCAGAGAUGGUGACAAUUGCUUUAGACUGAAUUUUUAUUCAAAAUCUAGCAAAAUCAAGUACAAAACACUAGGUGUAUUCAAUGUUGAGAGACAGGCACAUGGUCAGGUUAUGAACAAUCAGGAUAUAAGAGAUCAAGGCAGCAAUCACAAUCAAGGUAAACAAUCCAGAAUCAACACAGCAAUCAAUCAAGCAGUGGUAUGGCAGUUGUGAAACAGAGUUGAACAGAUACUUCGCAGUAUAAGUUUGGAGUGUACUUAUAUAGAGGUAGUACUUAUAUGGAGAGGUUUCAAGAGAGGGGCUCAGCCUGAAGUUUCUCUCCAACAUGCGUAACAAUGAAGUGAAUCUGAAAUCUCACAAAACUGGAUAUUUGUUCCAAAUUGGGGUGAAACAUGUGUCAGUUUCAUUGCCAGUGCUAACAACCAUUCAGGACCAGAUGAGAAGCAAAGCCGCAGCCUGCUGCUCAGGCACUAAUGACACCACUGCAUGUUUAAAGGUAGGACUUUGACAAUCAACAUGUUUAAAGUUUAAAUCAACAACAGUGAUUGUAUACGGUUAUCACAGGCACUUCCAAACUCAAAGACAAGAACACAGCAGUCAAAAACAGGAAAUAUGUGAGUAGGCUGAACUGGCUUGUGGAGGCAUGAAAACAUGGAAAGGAAUUAGCCAGUGAAUUAAGGAAUAUUAAAGGGGCUCCGAGUGGCAUGACAGAAAAGUGUUCGCCCCCUUUUAUUGGAGAUUGUGAUGAUAUGACAGCCAUCUGCGGCUAGGAGUCCAGGAGAGCAAAAUUGGUCUUGUAUGUCAAUCAUAGUGAGCUUCAUUCGUAUCUGCAUACGUAUCCAUUUUAGAACAAAUUAUCUGUUCAUUCUGAAUAGUGUGUAUGUUUUUGGCUACAUCCCUAAUACAUAUUAUUUUCUUAUAAGGCAAAAUGAGAUGUAUAUAUGUGUGAACACUGGUUAGUGGAUCAGUGUGGAGCUGGAGAAGAAGUGAAUUCUGUGGCUAGUGUGUCAAUUCAAUUAAAACUCUACAUAUUACAUAUUUAAAAAUAUUACAUAAUUCAUAAUUGAUGCCCAUUUGUCAUGAAUACACAAACCAAAUUACAUUGGAUAAUGUAGAAUGGAGCAGUAAUUCCCCGGUCUAAUUUAUAUAUUGGUUGAAAAUAGUCAGUCUGUUUUCAGCUUUUUAACAAAGGUGAAAUGGCCAAAAGAAAAAAAAAAAGAUGUUUGUAUCGUUCUGUCCAGUCUGAACAAACAGACAAAUUUGCAUAUUUGGAAGUCACAUUAAUGGUAAGUAGUGUUCAGUUUUUUUUCUCAUUUACAUACUGCAUUUUCUAUUGAUGUACCAUUUGAUGAGAUUAUCAUAGUUGGUUAAGUGAAAUUAAUCAUGACUUUUUUGCCUUUUAUGGUUUUGCCAGCUUCCUGAUCUUUGUUCUAUGGGCUGCCAUAGACUCAGGAGUGGAAGAAGAAACAGAAUAAGAAUAAGAACACUAAUGAUUAAAAUAGGUGCCUAUGCAUCUGCCGUGCUUCGCCCCUAAUAGUAAGAAAAAGUAGAAUAUCAAUAGGCACCUUCUAUGCUUGGCCCCCUAAUAAAUAAAUAAAAAAAAUAAAAAAAAAAUAAGUAAAGUGCAGAUCUCUAGUUGAGAACUGUCAGAGCCAGACCUCAGAGAACAUGAUGACAGUGCUGCCAUUUUUCUUUCUGUUUUUUUUUUUUUUUUUUUCAGUGUUUUCCAGGGUUUGCACAGGCAUUGUGGUAGGGUUCUUUUUUUUUUUUUAAAUCCUGGAAUUCAGAUACAGAUAUCUGGCACAGAGCAUGCAAUUAAUACAUCUACAGAUAAUCUCACUGCCUUACACCCCUACAAAUUAGACCAAACUGAUUUCUAUUAUGAUAUCCUCAUUCUUCUACUCAACUGUCACUGAGUACUGACUACUGAUGCAUUGCGUUUGGGAGCAUACACUAGGCAAACCUGAGGUAGAAAAAUUGUCAAUAGUCUGUUAACAUGCAGAAGAUGAUGAUAAAGAGCACAGUUUACUCUGGGCACUAUAUAAAUUCCUCCCAGAUUUCACAUUUGUUUUCAUGCGAUUGAAUUCGUUUAAAUUCGUUUGUAUUUGUAUUGUUAUUUGUAUAACAAAGCAGCUUAACCGAAAUGUAGGUAGAUUUAGAUAGCUAAUGAGCAAGGCAGUGGAAAGAGUAAACUCCCUGAGAUGACAUGAGGAAGAAGACUUAAGAAGAACUAGACUCCGUGUGAAUCCCUGGGUGACACCAGAUAGUGUGAAUAUAAAUGACUACUCUUCCACUCUAUACUAUGAAGUCAAUAUAAAAGUGUUUUGAAAGGAUGUUCAUUAUGAGCAGACUUUGAACAAGUCGUGGGAUAAGCAUAGGACAGUGUUUAUGAUUAUAGCUGCAGGUCUUAGGUACAAAUCUACAGCAUCCAGGAGAGAUUAUCCACUGAGGCAAGGGUGAGAGAACUUUAAAUAGUGAGACCAUAAGAUUUUGAUAUACUGUUUAGUAUGAUAGUGUACAGUUUCAUAAAGUAUACAGACAGCUUCAAGUGUCCAUGAUUUGUUCCUAAACUCAUGUUAAUGUCUGUGCACUGGAUUGUCAGAGGGGAUUGUCAAAUACCAUCCAUGGUGUAUUCCUGCCUUAUGCCCAGUAUUCCUGAGACAGUCUCCAGAUCCAUGUUUACCCUGACAAAGAUAAAGCACUUACUGAAGAUGAAUAAAUAAUAAAUGAUCUCAUAUUUCACCAGGAUUGCAUUGGGAAACAGUGAUUUAUGGAAACAUUUCUAAAUGCCUCCUGUUCUGUUAUUUCAGUAAUAAUGACUAAUAUUCUGGGAACAAUACUGAAUACAGUGGAGUGAAUAAACAUAUUGAUCGGUACUGCUGCCUGUCAGGACCUUCACAUUUUAUUUCAGACAUUUACCAACCUCACUGAUUAAUUCUUAAUUAGUGGUCACAGAAAAUAACCAGCCAAUGUGUUGUAUAGGCAGGCCUGUUUAGCAUGCUUAAAGCUAGUUUAGACAACACAAUAGCCUCUGAACCUGCACCUCUCUCUGAUAAGUCACCACAUUGAUUGUGAUUAAAGAUGAAUUUUUCCUCUUGAAAUUUCUCCAUUUACGUUCGUGAGCACUUGCGCCAGAUGGACCGACAGCACAGCACUGGGAGUAAUUAGCACACACAUUUAAUUAAAUCUGAAUCUUAGAGGGUAAAUAUGCAUGAUUAGCAUGGAUAUGAGCUCUUGCACCCCAUGAAGUAUGCUGUUUUUUCUUUUAUUCUUUCCAAAUCGAUUUUUCAUGAAUUCUCCAGAUGCCAAGAACUGUCAUGUCUAACUGUACAGUCGGCAUAAUCUCUUUGUAAACAUUCAACACUGAAGUCUGAUUAAAAUAAUGCAUUUUCUUUUUCCUGUCAUUCCAGAAGCCUGGCUGUCACAUUGACCAAAGAAUGUCGGAUCUCUCAAUUUUCUUGUUUUUCAGUAAAGCAAAUUGGAGAAAGCAGCAGCACUAGAGUUCCUGAUUGACAACUUCUGUAAACAGUACUUUAAACUGGAGUUGCCUGCAUUCAAAACUUAAAUAACGUGUCCUCUGUACUGUGCCAUGUGGACGAGUCCGCUUCCACCUACGUACUUGUUCUAGUAUAGUUUUAUAACUUCUAAUGGCAUUUUUUAAACAAAUGAAAAGCAAGCCUACCAUCAGCCACUUGUCUUUUAACAUAUGGUUUCUGCCCACCACAACACAUUAGCUCUUGAGGUAGAAAAUAAGCCAUUUACAUUGAAUAAAAAUGUUCCUAAUUUUGAAGUAUUUCAUUAGCAUUGCACAAACUGUAUCAUAUGAUUUAACUAACCAGAAUUAGCUGCCUGACAUCUCUUUUAAAGCAACUCCAAAAAAGCUGAUGUGGCUGAUAAUAACGCAGUAUUUGCAUCAUAUGGGAAUUUUUCUAAUUAUCACUUUCCAACUGGGAGAAACCAUUCAUGUCAACCUCAGAGUAGUAAUGUUGCCUGAAACUCAUAUGAUGGAAAACGUCAAAAUUUGUUCAAAAUAUAAUGUGAAGAUAAAAUAAAUGUGUGUAGAUGUGUUUGUUUUCUGUUCAGAAGGUAUUAUGAAUCAAAAAUGAGCUUUCGCCAUUUUAAUACAUGUUGGUUGAUCAUAUUAAUAAUUAAGUAACUUUCAGGCUUAGAACUCUAAAUCACAGUGCAGAUGCAAAAUUAAUCCAUUUACACAAUCAGUUGGAAAGGCCCCCAUCUGCAUAUGUUAAAAGGCAAUUACACAUAAGAGAAAAGAUGUGCUAAUAAAUCAGCAUGCACAUAUUUUACAGACAUCAAGUUUCAUAUGUUUUUACACAGAGCCUCAGUUCUGUUGAAUAUUAGGAAAUGUGCUAAGGUGUAAAAUUAAAACAGUGACAUGCAACAUGCGAAUGCUGACUAAUGGAAAAUAAAAACCCCAAUCACCCUUUUAAAAAUGUAAACAAGGUGCAACACACAAGUCCUUUUAAAUUGGAAUAAAAAGAUGUUUUCCCAUGCUCCUAAAUGCUUCCACAUUACUCUAUAUUAAAGCUAAUUUAUGCCAGCUAGCUAUCAUCAGUUCUCUCAGAAAGUAUUGGAAUGUCAAGGUCAGUUAUUUUAUUUGUGCUUUACACUGAAAUGAUUUGGGUUUCAGAUCAAAAGAUUAAUGCGAGAUAGAUCAGAAUUUCAGUUUUCAUUUCCUUAUAUUUAAAUCUGAUGUGUUUUUUCUUUUUUUGUAAUGCUUUUCCAGGCUUGUUUCACAGCUUAUUUCAAUUGUGGUUUGUUUUGUCUCCUCUUCAGGAGCUGAAAUGCAUGAUCAAUUUGCUUAUAUGAUUGUGGUACCUUCACCCCUGCCCUGUGGAGGUUGUUGGUGAUGGCACUGACUGUUGUUUUUGGGUUUUACUUCACAGGUCUCAAUGUUUCUGUCAUCACCUGUUGUUGUUUUCAUUGGAUGACAUGUUCUAUGUCUGGUUGUUAGUACACCAGUGGUUUCUUUCUUUUCAGGACAUUCCAAACUGUUGUAUUCGCUAUGCUCAAUGCUUGUGCAAUGGCUCAGAUAGAUUUUCCCAGAGACAGCUUUCUGGUCGUCAUGUUGGUUUAUCCUUUUUAACAACAAAUGCAGUCUUCACAGGCAGACCCCUAAACAAUCAAUUUAACAGGGCACACCUGGGCAGCAAGAAACACCUGUCAGUCACAUGUUCCAAUAUUCUUGAUCACUUAAUUAUAAAAAUUGGUGAGUUCAAACAAGGUGCCAUGUUCUACAUUGAUUAACACAUCUAGAUGAAAAUAUGAGGAAAUUGUUCUUUUCUGUUCUGAUCUGUCAUUUCAAAUUCAUCUUUCGAUCUUUUUUUACAUGUCUCCUUCAUUUGUUGUUUCACAGAUGGUCAUAUGAUCAUAUUUAUUUAUUUGGUGGCAUUUAAAUUUAGAUAUAAUGUAACCAUUCAUAUAUUAGUAAAAACAAACAAACAAAAAAAUACUUUAAAAUGAAGCAUGAUAUUGUGGAAUAUGUUUAGUUGAUAUUUUACCAGCCCCUUUUAUCUGCUCGUUUAAUCAUGAUUAUGCUCUUUGAUUGAUUUUUUCUUUCGCCUGUUAAUGGGCUCAGUGUUGACAGUAUAGAGACACCAUUAUAAGACGCCCGUUUGUUCAGAGACUCUAAAGCAUCUGUCGUUUUGCAAUAUAGGAAGUGGAUAUGUGCGGUGGGUGACUAACUACAGAAAUUAUUAGCAGUGAUAAAUUGCAAAGUAAGAGGCAGCAUCUGCCUGUAAAAUCAGAGGCAGGUCUAUCCUGAUGGGCCAAAAAUUAUCAGUCAAGCACAGAGUUGGUUAAAAAAGAAUAGAUAACUUUUUCAGGGGAGGAAAGAGAAAAGCAGACAUAGCCGAUCUGGACAGAAAUAAAAUUCCAGCAAAGCACAAGAUGGAGUUGAAUCCCGUCCAAAUAGAGCUUUAAUAAGGGUUAGUCACUGAUUUAAGGAAAGGUUAAGCCAUGAGUUUUAUGUGCUUAUCAGCUAUUUAAUAGAAAUUAGUGGUUGUUGAAAAGCAAUUAAUUUUGCAAUGCAUUGCAAUGAACUCGGCAUGAAUAACAUAAGUGCGAAUAUUACACCAUAGUGUGAUAUUUUGAUUAAUCAGUGAACUAGGAAGCAGAUUAGAGAGUGAGUGACCAAGCAUAGCUAUUAUAGGAUUUUCACAAACAUAGCUAUUAAAUGCACUGCAUGGGAGAUAUUGCGUCUCAUCAUUUCAGUAGCAAUUACAGAACUGUCAAGACCACCAAAAUCAUCAGAAGUAAUAGCUAAGGCCAUGUUGCUGUUCAUUAAUUUACAUUUCUUGUUGCCUUUCACAGACAGUGGCCGUCGUUAAGUAUGAGAAUGCUGCUGCAACUUGAACACUUACUGCUUCUUACAGUUUCCGUGACAGAUCCUGAGCUUGGAUAUCAUGAAUAGAAAACAUUUAAUUAUACUCUAUUUUGUUCUGCCCCAGCAAGGAUUAUGACAUGAGCUUAAAGGUUGUUCUAACUAAAAAGGCAAUUAUUAGAUUUUUUUUUCACCACAGACAGACUAAUACUAUAGAUUCCUGUUGCCAGAGACUGACUACCUAUAGAGUGAUUUGCCUGUGCUAUGAAAAAAAAUUAAUUGAAAAAUAUCUACAAAUCAGAUUUUCAGGUUAAUAUGUGAGAAAGACUUGUUGUGAUGAACAGAUAACAAAGUAAACAAAUAAACAAAUAAAGCUUAAUAGUGCACAAAUGCACUGGAGCAUUUAAAAAACAAAAAACGAAAACAUAAAUUGUACUUGCUGUUGCCAUCUUUACAGCUAUACCGCUGAGUUGUAGGUAAUUCAAUGGUGAUUUAUCUUUAAAGUUAUUUAGUCUUACAUUAAAAGGAUUAUGUGCAAAAUCACUUUAUUAUGUUGAAAUAAUAAUUUAAAAAAUAAUGAUGUAUGUAAUUUCUUCUAUUCCAUUUAAGUAGAAAUGUACAAUUAGUCAAAAUAAUAUUUUCAAGCAAGGAUUACAUUUUCAUUAAUAUUGUCAUGAUAUUACAGUAUAUCAGACAGAGUGUCAUGUUUUUAAAGUUUAAGGAAUUUCAGUUUGGAGGUGUGCACUUACCUUUUCUAGAAAGGCAUAAUAAGGAAGCAGGGGUAGUUCUAAUAUUCUGAAGUGUCCACAAUAAUAAUACUGUGUAUGUGGUGAAUACAAUGCUAUAUGUAGUGUAUGUUUAUUGGCACAUACGUUAUCAUAAUUAAUCAUGAAUACAGUGCGACUCCCCUCCACAACUUCAUGCCACUUUUGGUGUCAUCACUAUAUACAGUGAUGGUUGGAAUGAUGAGCUGUUGCCAUUUUGUGAGAAAGAUUAGGGCAAGUUACAAAAUGUGUAAAUAAUUAUAGGUCAUUUUUAAAAUAACUUAAUGUACUAUAGCUGUAUGUUCCACGCUUUAAUCAUUUGAACAUUUCAUCAAUCAUAGUUUACAUCAAUUAUAAAUAUAUUUUAAAAAAUGCGUAAGAAAAUAUAUUAAUAUUAAUCAAUGAUAAUAAAAGGUUUAAGAUCAAUAUGAGGAAGCUUAAAGAGUUAUUCAAAUUGCAUAUAAUUUAUAUUUUAGUAAACUGUUCUUUCAAGAUUUCUUCAGUUCCUCUUUAAUAUAAGUAAUCCAUAGCAUGAUACUUAUAAUCCAUAGCAUGAUACAAGAUGUUAGUGUUAUUGUGCAAUAUGAUGGCACUAGAUGGCACUAUUGUAUCAUUUUGAAAUGUAAAGGCAACGAUUUAAAAUGAGAAAUUACAAGUUUCACAUUUAUAUAAAUAUAGUUAUUAUUAAUAUUAUUAUUGUUGUUGUUGUUGUUGUCAAAGAUAUCUCACAAACAAUGAAAUUAAAUGUUUCUCCAUUAAAAUAAAGAUCAAUAAACAGUAAUAAAUUAAACAAAGGCAAUAUUUGGUGUGACGACCCUUUGCUUAAAAAAAAUAAAAAUAAAAAAGGUAGUCUCAUGUAGAAUUAGUGCAGUUUUAUAAGGAAAUGAGCUGUAAGUUUUAUUGAGCACCUUGCAGAACCAGCCACAGUUCUUCUGGAGACUUUAUAUCAUUAUGGUUUUUGUCUGAAAAGUGUCUCUUACCACUCAAUAUGUUGGUUUCUUUAAUGACAUACAGACAGAAAGACACAUACAUUAAGUCUUAUGUUGUCUGCAGAUUCAAAUAAAUAACAUAUAAUAUACAUUAUAAUUUAAUACAUUCUAAUGUAUUAAUUAAGAGUUUUGUUAUUCAGCAGUUAUGUUGGCUUCAAAUCCCGUGGUUUAUGCUGAACUGAAUUCAUGUGGUCAGUUUAAUCCUUUUACUGUCUUUUACUGAUUAAAAUAAAGAGCGACGAUUGAAGCAUGAGAAAUAAUCUGUAAUGCUUUCUGUUAUGCCCAGAUUAAUCCAUCUUUUUUUUUUCUUUUUUACUUCUAAUUAUUUGGUAACAGAGAUUUGUAAAUCUGAUAAAGCCUCAAAGUAAAUAUUAUCCUUAAUUUAUGGCUGUAAAACAUGCCCAAGUGACAUUUAUUUUAUAUUUAUUAUAUUUGCAAUGUAAUGAUUUUUCUGUAAGCGUUUAACUGAAUAAAAAAGCUGCAGUUUUUAAUAAGUAUUUAUAACAUUGUUGUAAAAUGUGAACAUAUAAAACAUGGUAAAAUACAGAGAG